This is a long non-coding RNA of Vicia villosa (hairy vetch), 424 nucleotides long. RefSeq lists it as uncharacterized. The record is from RefSeq and is a predicted model, not a curated record. NCBI's taxonomy places the organism in Eukaryota, Viridiplantae, Streptophyta, Magnoliopsida, Fabales, Fabaceae. The transcript has 3 exons.
CUAUCCACAUCAGCAACUCUUCUCUCAAUGAUCCACAUCAGCUUUGGUGGUUACUACAGAAUUUUUGAUCCUUCAACUGCAUGGUGGGCUGCGGCAGUUAUGGCUGUGGAAGUUUCACCCUCACAGCUUCUCAUGUUGCUGCAGUUAUUGCAGUGUGAAUUUGCAUUAUCAUGUCAAGGCCUGUUGAGAGAAUAGCAGAGAUCAAUGAUGGAAAAGAGCUUUGGAAGAUUGUUGUUAGGAUUCACCACCGAUGGAAAGUUGUCUCCAACAGCAAGGAACAUUUUGAAAUGAUCUUUGUUGACAAAUUGGGAGAUGAUAUUCAUGCUGUUGUUCCAGCACCGCAUGUGUCGGUUUUCACCGAAAAAUGCUUAUUAGGCCAUACUUAUACUGUAUCUAAUUUUAAGGUGGUGCCUUAUGUUCUGGC